AUGGAGGGCGGCAGCAGCAGCCUCGACGCGGCGAUCGAGUCGCUCCUGAACACGGAGAAGCAGUGCCGCCUCGCCGGGGAUGUGGCCGGCACCCGGAAGGCCGCCGUCGACAUCGUCGAGCUCUGCUUCAAGGACGCCGCCUGGAAGACGCUCAACGACCAGAUCGUCGUCCUCUCCAAGCGGCGGGGCCAGCUCAAGCAGGCUAUUACUGCUGUGGUUCAGAAAGCGAUGGAGUACAUUGAUGUGACACCAGACGUGGAAACACGUAUUGAGCUUAUCAAAACAUUGAGCAGCGUCGCUGCUGGAAAAAUAUAUGUGGAGAUAGAGAGAGCUAGAUUGAUCAAAAGACUUGCAAAAAUCAAAGAGGAACAGGGAAAGAUUGAUGAAGCUGCUGAAAUCAUGCAGGAAGUUGCUGUUGAAACAUUUGGCUCGAUGGCCAAGACAGAGAAACUUGCAUUCAUUCUGGAGCAGGUUCGUCUGUGCCUGGAUCGUCAAGAUUAUGUGCGCGCACAAAUUUUAUCCAGGAAGAUUAGCCCUAGGGUCUUUGAUGCUGAUACAUCAAAGGACAAAAAGAAACCAAAGGAAGGUGAUAAUAUGGUUCAGGAAGCCCCUGCAGAUGUACCUUCACUCUUAGAACUGAAGCGCAUCUACUAUGAACUGAUGAUUCGCUAUUACUCACAUAACAAUGAUUACCUGGAAAUCUGCCGUUGCUACAAGUCGAUCUAUGAAAUUCCAUCAAUAAAAGAGGAUCCAGCAAAGUGGACACCGAUUCUUAGGAAGAUCUGUUGGUUCUUGGUGCUGGCACCUCAUGAUCCAAUGCAGUCAAGCCUUCUCAAUGCUACACUAGAGGAUAAAAACCUUUCUGAGAUCCCAAAUUUCAGAUUACUACUGAAGCAAGUUGUUACCAUGGAGGUGAUCCAGUGGACAAAGUUGUGGGAAUUCUUCAAGGAUGAAUACGAGAACGAGAAGAAUCUCCUUGGAGGAGCUUUAGGCACGAAAGCUGCGGAGGAUUUGAAGCUGAGGAUCAUUGAGCAUAAUAUCUUGGUUGUUUCGAAGUACUAUUCGAGGAUUACCCUGAAGAGGCUGGCGGAUCUUCUUUGCCUGAGCUUGCAGGAGGCAGAGAAGCACAUCUCGGACAUGGUGAACUCAAAGGCCCUGAUUGCCAAGAUCGACAGACCGAUGGGGAUUGUGUCUUUCCGGACAGCCCAGGACAGCAACGGGGUGCUCAACUCGUGGGCGUCAAACCUGGAGAAGCUCCUGGACCUGGUAGAGAAGAGCUGCCACCAAAUACACAAGGAGACGAUGAUCCACAAGGCAGUGCUAAAGGCGUGA
Molecule: ribosomal RNA, 1332 nt
Filed under: Triticum aestivum (bread wheat)
Lineage: Eukaryota; Viridiplantae; Streptophyta; Magnoliopsida; Poales; Poaceae
Description: partial small subunit ribosomal RNA
Source: RNAcentral